UCUGAACGCUGGCGGCGUGGCUAAGACAUGCAAGUCGUACGGUGUAGCAAUACACAGUGGCGGACGGGUGAGUAAAGUAUCGCUAAUGUACCCCGAUGUCUGGGAUAGCCAGUCGAAAGAUUGGGUAAUACCGGAUAAGACCACAGAACCGCAUGGUUCGGUGCUCAAAGGGUCACCGCAUUGGGCGCAGGCGAUAUCGUAUCAGCUAGUUGGUGAGGAACGGCUCACCAAGGCGACGACGCGUAGCCGGGCUGAGAGGUCGGCCGGCCACAUUGGGACUGAGACACUGCCCAGACUCCUACGGGGGGNU
This 310-nucleotide ribosomal RNA is filed under the name uncultured bacterium. RNAcentral's name for it is "bacterial SSU rRNA". It matches the Rfam family "Bacterial small subunit ribosomal RNA", at positions 30 to 350 of the family's 1533-position model. The record is from RNAcentral.